Molecule: non-coding RNA, 84 nt
Organism: Hippoglossus stenolepis (Pacific halibut)
Lineage: Eukaryota; Metazoa; Chordata; Actinopteri; Pleuronectiformes; Pleuronectidae
Source: the annotation of a RefSeq genome assembly
GGUAGUGUGGCCGAAAGUGGUCUAAGGCACUGGAUUGAGGCUCCAGUCUCUCAGGAGGCGUGGGUUCAAAUCCCACCACUGCCA